UUGACGGAAGGGCACCACCAGGAGUGGAGCCUGCGGCUUAAUUUGACUCAACACGGGGAAACUCACCAGGUCCAGACACAAUAAGGAUUGACAGAUUGAGAGCUCUUUCUUGAUUUUGUGGGUGGUGGUGCAUGGCCGUUCUUAGUUGGUGGAGUGAUUUGUCUGCUUAAUUGCGAUAACGAACGAGACCUUAACCUACUAAAUAGUGCGAUUUGCUUUUGCAGAUUUUGACACUUCUUAGAGGGACUAUCGAUUUCAAGUCGAUGGAAGUUUGAGGCAAUAACAGGUCUGUGAUGCCCUUAGACGUUCUGGGCCGCACGCGCGCUACACUGACGGAGCCAGCGAGUAAUAUCCUUUGCCGAGAGGUAUGGGUAAUCUUGUGAAACUCCGUCGUGCUGGGGAUAGAGCAUUGCAAUUAUUGCUCUUCAACGAGGAAUUCCUAGUAAGCGCAAGUCAUCAGCUUGCGUUGAUUACGUCCCUGCCCUUUGUACACACCGCCCGUCGCUACUACCGAUUGAAUGGCUUAGUGAGGCUUCCGGAUCGGCCUAGAGUAGGAGGCAACUCCCUCUCGGGGCUGAGAAGCUAGUCAAA
This 591-nucleotide ribosomal RNA is filed under the name Wickerhamomyces sp. Its description in RNAcentral is "SSU rRNA". It matches the Rfam family "Eukaryotic small subunit ribosomal RNA", at positions 1153 to 1763 of the family's 1831-position model. The record is from RNAcentral. Lineage: Eukaryota; Fungi; Ascomycota; Saccharomycetes; Phaffomycetales; Wickerhamomycetaceae.